This is a non-coding RNA of Termitomyces sp. T159_Od127, 84 nucleotides long. Lineage: Eukaryota; Fungi; Basidiomycota; Agaricomycetes; Agaricales; Lyophyllaceae. The record is from the annotation of a GenBank genome assembly.
GGGUCGAUGGCGUAGUUGGUUAUCGCAUCUGUCUUACAUUUGAAUUUCCACAGAAGGUCCUCAGUUCGAGCCUGGGUCGACUCA